GCGGGCCGGGGAGGCGGGGAGCCUGCGGGUCGGCGCGCCAGCCUGGCUGUGCGUGCUCACGUGACAGUUCCGCGAGGCCCAGCUCGCGCAGUCGUCCGAGCGAGCGAAGAUGGCGGCCGAGAGGGAGCCUCCUCCGCUGGGGGACGGGAAACCCACCGACUUUGAGGAACUGGAGGACGGAGAAGACUUGUUCACCAGCACUGUCUCCACGCUAGAGGUCAGACUGCAUCUCCGUGGGUUCCGUGCUGCGCUGCUCCCCGCGUCUCUCCUUUUAGAUGCCGUUACCCUAACCCAGCUUGUCCCUUCCCACCCCCAGGGCUAGCAAGACCAGGUGGGUGACACCUGUGACGGACCCCACCUCAGGUACCUGUCAGUAGGUUGGGUAAUGGCCUGGGCGGUAAGGCCUCCUCAGGAGAGCAGCUUGCGGGCCUUGGGGACCGACCUAAUUCUCUAAGGGGCUGGCAGCGUCCGGAC
This 474-nucleotide long non-coding RNA is filed under the name Marmota monax (woodchuck). Lineage: Eukaryota; Metazoa; Chordata; Mammalia; Rodentia; Sciuridae. The record is from RNAcentral.